Long non-coding RNA from Macrobrachium nipponense, 241 nucleotides. RefSeq lists it as uncharacterized. The transcript is spliced from 2 exons. The record is from RefSeq and is a predicted model, not a curated record. Lineage: Eukaryota; Metazoa; Arthropoda; Malacostraca; Decapoda; Palaemonidae.
ACGUCGAGAACUGGAAGUACAGAAGAGACAGGAAGGAGAAACAGGACGAAGAAGAAGCCGCUUCCGCCAUUUCUCCAGAUAACGACGAUCUGUCCACACUCACUCCUCCUCCCGCCAGUACGUCCGCCGUCUAAGCGUCUGUCUAUAACAGCGCUAGAAACAAGUCAAUGAAUCAAUAAAUAAUCAAAUGGAUGAAUGGAGAAACACGUAGAAUGAUGUAUGAAUAAAUUUUUUGGACGUA